RNAcentral lists this ribosomal RNA (440 nucleotides) under uncultured bacterium. RNAcentral describes it as "partial 16S ribosomal RNA". It matches the Rfam family "Bacterial small subunit ribosomal RNA", at positions 338 to 795 of the family's 1533-position model. The record is from RNAcentral.
CCUACGUGGGGCAGCAGUGGGGGAUAUUGCACAAUGGGGGAAACCCUGAUGCAGCGACGCCGCGUGUGGGAAGACGGUCCUCUGGAUUGUAAACCACUGUCCCCAGGGACGAAAAUGACGGUACCUGGGGAGGAAGCUCCGGCUAACUACGUGCCAGCAGCCGCGGUAAUAUGUAGGGGGCGAGCGGUUGCCGGAAUUACUGGGUGUAAGGGGAGCGUAGGCGGGGAUGCAAGUUGGGUGUAAAAACUACCGGCUCAACUGGUAGUCGCACUCAAAACUGCAGCUCUUGAGUGAAGUAGAGGCAGGCGGAAUUCCUAGUGUAGCGGUGAAAUGCGUAGAUAUUAGGAGGAACACCAGUGGCGAAGGCGGCCUGCUGGGCUUUUACUGACGCUGAGGCUCGAAAGUGUGGGGAGCAAACAGGAUUAGAUACCCGAGUAGUC